Molecule: transfer RNA, 90 nt
Filed under: Photobacterium iliopiscarium
Lineage: Bacteria; Pseudomonadati; Pseudomonadota; Gammaproteobacteria; Vibrionales; Vibrionaceae
Description: tRNA-Asn
Source: RNAcentral
UCUCUCUUAGCUCAGUUGGUUUCUUUUUAUUAAAAGCUUGGCGGACUGUUAAUUCACAUGUCACUGGUUCAAGUCCAGUAGAGGGAGCCA